This 459-nucleotide ribosomal RNA is filed under the name uncultured bacterium. Its description in RNAcentral is "partial 16S ribosomal RNA". It matches the Rfam family "Bacterial small subunit ribosomal RNA", at positions 338 to 795 of the family's 1533-position model. The record is from RNAcentral.
CCUACGGGGGGCUGCAGUGAGGAAUAUUGGUCAAUGGCCGGAAGGCUGAACCAGCCAAGCCGCGUGAAGGACGAAGGUGCCAAGCAUUGUAAACUUCUUUUGUCAAGGGACAAAAUCAGGCUCGAGAGCCUGACCGAGGGUACUUGAAGAAAAAGCAUCGGCUAACUCCGUGACAGCAGCCGCGGUAAUACGGAGGAUGCGAGCGUUAUCCGGAUUUAUUGGGUUAAAGGGAUGCCUAGGCGGACUGUUACUUCAGCGGUAAAAGCCCGGGGAUAACCCCAGGCGAGCCGUUGAAACUGGCUGUCUUGAGAUGUCGAGAGGUAUGCGGAAUGCGCAGUGUAGCGGUGAAAUGCUUAGAUAUUGCGCAGAACUCCGAUUGCGAAGGCAGCAUACCGGCGGCGAUCUGACGCUGAGGCACGAAAGCGUGGGUAUCGAACAGGAUUAGAUACCCGGGUAGUC